This 497-nucleotide ribosomal RNA is filed under the name uncultured bacterium. RNAcentral describes it as "partial 16S ribosomal RNA". It matches the Rfam family "Bacterial small subunit ribosomal RNA", at positions 28 to 507 of the family's 1533-position model. The record is from RNAcentral.
GACGAACGCUGGCGGCGUGCCUAAUACAUGCCAGUUGAGCGCUGAAGGUUGGUACUUGUACCAACUGGAUGAGCAGCGAACGGGUGAGUAACGCGUGGGGAAUCUGCCUUUGAGCGGGGGACAACAUUUGGAAACGAAUGCUAAUACCACAUAAAAACUUUAAACACAAGUUUUAAGUUUGAAAGAUGCAAUUGCAUCACUCAAAGAUGAUCCCGCGUUGUAUUAGCUAGUUGGUGAGGUAAAGGCUCACCAAGGCGAUGAUACAUAGCCGACCUGAGAGGGUGAUCGGCCACAUUGGGACUGAGACACGGCCCAAACUCCUACGGGAGGCAGCAGUAGGGAAUCUUCGGCAAUGGACGAAAGUCUGACCGAGCAACGCCGCGUGAGUGAAGAAGGUUUUCGGAUCGUAAAACUCUGUUGGUAGAGAAGAACGUUGGUGAGAGUGGAAAGCUCAUCAAGUGACGGUAACUACCCAGAAAGGGACGGCUAACUACGUG